Long non-coding RNA from Glycine soja, 1521 nucleotides. RefSeq lists it as uncharacterized. The transcript is spliced from 5 exons. The record is from RefSeq and is a predicted model, not a curated record. NCBI's taxonomy places the organism in Eukaryota, Viridiplantae, Streptophyta, Magnoliopsida, Fabales, Fabaceae.
UAUUCCUAUGGUUCUAGAUUUUUCCUCUCUCAAUAUCCAGUAUCCAGUGUGGUUCUACCUUUUUUCCCCCUCUCAUUUUCUUAUAUAUUUUACACUCUCUUUUAUGCUUUUUUCUCUCAGCUGGGUUGGGUAUUCACCUCCAUUUCCUUGAUGCGGACCGAGGAUUUUAUUAGUCCCAGUAAAGAAGCAGAAACAACAGGAGCUCUUCGCUGGUUGCAUGAUCAAUACGUAUUGCAUUUGGUGAUCGUGCUUUGGGUGGGAGAGGCGAUUUUGGUUUUCUGCAAAAAAAAAAAAUAGUUACAAAACAAAAGGUUGACAAGAUUCAUGUCCUUAUAAGAAAAAAGGAGUUAAAGACAUGGAAAUUGACUCUAAAGGAGAACAACACUUAUAUGAUGCACAACUUUAAAAUUUUUAACAACGAGGGCCAGUAUAAGCUAUGUUUGCAUCCAUAUAAGUUGAUUUUUACUGGUGUCACUAUUGUCAUAGAAGUGGACCUUCCUAAUAUCCCUUUAAAGGCAUAUGAGUUUGUUAAUUUUGUUGAUAUCCUUGCUAGAACCUACCGACGCGAUUUGUUAGUUGGUAAUGCUAUUUAUUGUCGAACAAGUUUCAAUAUCUUAUAUUUUUGUCUACAGUUAUUUUAUUUAGUAAGGAUGUAUAUGAAUUAUUAUCUUUUUCCCUCUUUUCUUUCAUAUUUUAGAUGUCAUUGGUGUUGUUCAUGAGUUGACAUCUCACCAUGUUUUAAUUAGUCCAAAGAGGGUAGUCUUUACCUUGAAAGAUCUAAAGUGCAAAAACUAUCUCUAUCUAUUUAUUAUCCUUUAUCUACUUAGUAUGAGAUUUACAAAAUUAAAAUUUUUAUACUCUUUGGGAUGACCUCUAUUUACAAUUUGUUAAUUAUUUGAAAGAGACUGGUGGUGGUAUGGAGACGGUGGUUAUUAUGUUAAGACACGCUCACAUCAAAGAGGUACAGAGUUUUUCACUUUUGAUUUGUUUUUUAUAUUAAAAUGGUGGCUUGGUUAUAUUUUUUAUUUUACUUAAUCUUUUAACUUAUUUCCUAUUAUUAAAUUGACAUGAGUUUACCCAAUUACAAUAACUAACACAUGGCAGGGCUCAAAGCUGUUGAUUAAUGAAUCAUUACCUGAAAUACAACAAUUUAAAGAAAGAGUUGGUGUUAGCUUACCUAUAUUGGGGUUCUAACACAAAGCUCUUCACAAAAGGGUUGUAGCCUGUCACAAUCUUCUGGAUCAUCACAAUAUUCAGAGAAAGAAAAGUUCUUUUACAAAGUAGAGGUAACAGAUUGUGUUACUAUUGGCACUAUUAGAAGAAUAAUCAUGGAGAAUCAUGGAUGGUGUUAUGCAUCAUGCAUGAAGUGCAACAAGAGUGUUGUACUAGAAAAUGAACCAUUCAAAUGUUCAUGUGGCAAAUACAAUGAAGGGAGUAUAUUAAGGUUGUGUACUUUUAGUUUACCAUUACUGUAACAUCCCAAUUUUCGUAAACUAGAUUAAAAAGGAUUGUUAUUUAUAA